AGUUUGAUCCUGGCUCAGGAUGAACGCUAGCUACAGGCUUAACACAUGCAAGUCGAGGGGCAGCAUUGGAGUAGCAAUACUUCAGAUGGCGACCGGCGCACGGGUGAGUAACACGUAUCCAACCUGCCGCUUACUCGGGGAUAGCCUUUCGAAAGAAAGAUUAAUACCCGAUGGUAUAAAGAGUUCGCAUGUUCUCUUUAUUAAAGAAUUUCGGUAAGCGAUGGGGAUGCGUUCCAUUAGAUAGUUGGCGGGGUAACGGCCCACCAAGUCUACGAUGGAUAGGGGUUCUGAGAGGAAGGUCCCCCACAUUGGAACUGAGACACGGUCCAAAUCCUACGGGAGGCAGCAGUGAGGAAUAUUGGUCAAUGGACGAGAGUCUGAACCAGCCAAGUAGCGUGAAGGAUGACUGCCCUAUGGGUUGUAAACUUCUUUUAUAAGGGAAUAAAGUGAGGGACGUGUCCCUUUUUGUAUGUACCUUAUGAAUAAGGAUCGGCUAACUCCGUGCCAGCAGCCGCGGUAAUACGGAGGAUCCAAGCGUUAUCCGGAUUUAUUGGGUUUAAAGGGAGCGUAGGUUGACAUAUAAGUCAGCUGUGAAAGUUUACGGCUCAACCGUGAAAUUGCAGUUGAUACUGUAUGUCUUGAGUGUACAAGAGGUGGGCGGAAUUCGUGGUGUAGCGGUGAAAUGCUUAGAUAUCACGAAGAACUCCAAUUGCGAAGGCAGCUCACUGGGGUACAACUGACACUGAGGCUCGAAAGUGUGGGUAUCAAACAGGAUUAGAUACCCUGGUAGUCCACACAGUAAACGAUGAAUACUCGCUGUUUGCGAUAUACAGUAAGCGGCCAAGCGAAAGCAUUAAGUAUUCCACCUGGGGAGUACGCCGGCAACGGUGAAACUCAAAGGAAUUGACGGGGGCCCGCACAAGCGGAGGAACAUGUGGUUUAAUUCGAUGAUACGCGAGGAACCUUACCCGGGCUUGAAUUGCAGAGGAACAUAGUUGAAAGAUUAUGGCCGCAAGGUCUCUGUGAAGGUGCUGCAUGGUUGUCGUCAGCUCGUGCCGUGAGGUGUCGGCUUAAGUGCCAUAACGAGCGCAACCCUUAUCAUUAGUUACUAACAGGUCAUGCUGAGGACUCUAGUGAGACUGCCGUCGUAAGAUGUGAGGAAGGUGGA
This 1168-nucleotide ribosomal RNA is filed under the name uncultured Bacteroides sp. RNAcentral's name for it is "bacterial SSU rRNA". It matches the Rfam family "Bacterial small subunit ribosomal RNA", at positions 10 to 1177 of the family's 1533-position model. Lineage: Bacteria; Pseudomonadati; Bacteroidota; Bacteroidia; Bacteroidales; Bacteroidaceae. The record is from RNAcentral.